GAUGAACGCUGGCGGCGUGCCUAAUACAUGCAAGUCGAGCGAACAGACGAGGAGCUUGCUCCUCUGACGUUAGCGGCGGACGGGUGAGUAACACGUGGAUAACCUACCUAUAAGACUGGGAUAACUUCGGGAAACCGGAUCUAAUACCGGAUAAUAUAUUGAACCGCAUGGUUCAAUAGUGAAAGACGGUUUUGCUGUCACUUAUAGAUGUAUCCGCGCCGCAUUAGCUAGUUGGUAAGGUAACGGCUUACCAAGGCAACGAUGCGUAGCCGACCUGAGAGGGUGAUCGGCCACACUGGAACUGAGACACGGUCCAGACUCCUACGGGAGGCAGCAGUAGGGAAUAUUCCGCAAUGGGCGAAAGCCUGACGGAGCAACGCCGCGUGAGUGAUGAAGGUCUUCGGAUCGUAAAACUCUGUUAUUAGGGAAGAACAAAUGUGUAAGUAACUAUGCACGUCUUGACGGUACCUACUCAGAAAGCCACGGCUAACUACGUG
Molecule: ribosomal RNA, 497 nt
Filed under: uncultured bacterium
Lineage: Bacteria
Description: partial 16S ribosomal RNA
Rfam family: Bacterial small subunit ribosomal RNA
Source: RNAcentral